RNAcentral lists this ribosomal RNA (467 nucleotides) under uncultured bacterium. RNAcentral's name for it is "partial 16S ribosomal RNA". It matches the Rfam family "Bacterial small subunit ribosomal RNA", at positions 28 to 506 of the family's 1533-position model. The record is from RNAcentral.
GACGAACGCUGGCGGCGUGCUUAACACAUACAAGUCGAACGGAAAGGCCCUGCUUUUGUGGGGUGCUCGAGUGGCGAACGGGUGAGUAACACGUGAGUAACCUGCCCUUGACUUUGGGAUAACUUCAGGAAACUGGGGCUAAUACCGGAUAGGAGCUCCUGCUGCAUGGUGGGGGUUGGAAAGUUUCGGCGGUUGGGGAUGGACUCGCGGCUUAUCAGCUUGUUGGUGGGGUAGUGGCUUACCAAGGCUUUGACGGGUAGCCGGCCUGAGAGGGUGACCGGCCACAUUGGGACUGAGAUACGGCCCAGACUCCUACGGGAGGCAGCAGUGGGGAAGAUUGCACAAUGGGCGGAAGCCUGAUGCAGCAACGCCGCGUGCGGGAUGACGGCCUUCGGGUUGUAAACCGCUUUCGCCUGUGACGAAGCGUGAGUGACGGUAAUGGGUAAAGAAGCACCGGCUAACUACGU